Molecule: ribosomal RNA, 136 nt
Filed under: Klebsiella quasipneumoniae subsp. similipneumoniae
Lineage: Bacteria; Pseudomonadati; Pseudomonadota; Gammaproteobacteria; Enterobacterales; Enterobacteriaceae
Description: partial 23S ribosomal RNA
Rfam family: Bacterial large subunit ribosomal RNA
Source: RNAcentral
GGGUUGUGAGGUUAAGCGACUAAGCGUACACGGUGGAUGCCCUGGCAGUCAGAGGCGAUGAAGGACGUGCUAAUCUGCGAAAAGCGUCGGUAAGGUGAUAUGAACCGUUAUAACCGGCGAUGUCCGAAUGGGGAAA